AUUGAACGCUGGCGGCAGGCCUAACACAUGCAAGUCGAGCGGAUGAAGGGAGCUUGCUCCUGGAUUCAGCGGCGGACGGGUGAGUAAUGCCUAGGAAUCUGCCUGGUAGUGGGGGAUAACGUCCGGAAACGGGCGCUAAUACCGCAUACGUCCUGAGGGAGAAAGUGGGGGAUCUUCGGACCUCACGCUAUCAGAUGAGCCUAGGUCGGAUUAGCUAGUUGGUGGGGUAAAGGCCUACCAAGGCGACGAUUCGUAACUGGUCUGAGAGGAUGAUCAGUCACACUGGAACUGAGACACGGUCCAGACUCCUACGGGAGGCAGCAGUGGGGAAUAUUGGACAAUGGGCGAAAGCCUGAUCCAGCCAUGCCGCGUGUGUGAAGAAGGUCUUCGGAUUGUAAAGCACUUUAAGUUGGGAGGAAGGGAAGUAAGUUAAUACCUUGCUGUUUUGACGUUACCAACAGAAUAAGCACCGGCUAACUUCGUG
RNAcentral lists this ribosomal RNA (484 nucleotides) under uncultured bacterium. RNAcentral describes it as "partial 16S ribosomal RNA". It matches the Rfam family "Bacterial small subunit ribosomal RNA", at positions 30 to 507 of the family's 1533-position model. The record is from RNAcentral.